GCUCAGCGUGGUGGAGCUGGAAAGGGCGGCGCGCUUCCGGCGCGACGCCGACCGCCGCCGGUUCCUGACCGGCGCCUGGCU
Molecule: transfer RNA, 81 nt
Filed under: Microbispora siamensis
Lineage: Bacteria; Bacillati; Actinomycetota; Actinomycetes; Streptosporangiales; Streptosporangiaceae
Description: tRNA-Gly
Source: RNAcentral